Molecule: ribosomal RNA, 285 nt
Filed under: uncultured prokaryote
Description: partial 16S ribosomal RNA
Rfam family: Bacterial small subunit ribosomal RNA
Source: RNAcentral
UACGUAGGGGGCUAGCGUUAUCCGGAAUUACUGGGCGUAAAGGGUGCGUAGGUGGUUUCUUAAGUCAGAGGUGAAAGGCUACGGCUCAACCGUAGUAAGCCUUUGAAACUGGGAAACUUGAGUGCAGGAGAGGAGAGUGGAAUUCCUAGUGUAGCGGUGAAAUGCGUAGAUAUUAGGAGGAACACCAGUUGCGAAGGCGGCUCUCUGGACUGUAACUGACACUGAGGCACGAAAGCGUGGGGAGUAAACAGGAUUAGAUACCCCGGUAGUCCCUGAGCGGGCUGG